GUGGUUCUUAAAUGACAUACAGACAAUAUAGUACAAAAUAUUUUUUUCUCUAUUAACUGUUGGUUGGUGGUAGGUUGAAUUUUCAUAUCAAACUACCAACAAAUAGUCAAAUCGAUAUAGUAAUAAUAGCUAGUAUUAUUAUAUAAUAAUAAUUGUUGUACUAAUAGGUAUCCAUUGAUAUAUAUAUAAAUUAUUUUUGGAGUAGCUUGUCACCAUAAAAAAUAUGUAAUUUGUUCGUUGACUUUAAGCAUAGUUGAAAGCUCUGCUCAUGUCCUAGGGUGGGCACCACACUAUUGUGGGAUAAGCACAUGCCACCUAGCCCACCAUUGAAUAUAUCUAUGCUAAUAUUUUAAGGUUCUUUUUUAAUUUUAUACAGAUUUUUGCAAUUGAUUAUAAAGAUUUUAAGGUAUUUCGAGACAUAUUUAACGGUAAAUAUUUUUAAUAGUUAGCAACCCUAUUUUGAGUUGUUUUGACGUUUGAAUCGCACAACAAAAUUUUACGCUAAUUUUAUAUUAUGUUUUAUAAUUCUUUUUAUUCUUUUCUAAUAUUUUUUUUUUAAUUCGUUAUUUUCUGUGACUGUCGACGUUGUUCGAAACAAGAUUUAUAAACAAAUACCUGUCUUUUUAUUUCCUCCACCAAUUAAAUAUUUCAAGUGUAGUGAAAAUUUAAGAAUCUAUUAUUUUACUUAUUUUAUAUUAUUUAUAUAAUAAAAAUUUUGCUGAUAAAUAUUGCUUCAAACAUUGUAUUUUUUAGUCCUCAUAAUAUAUUCUAUCAUGUUUUUAUAACUUCAGGUAAUAGAAAAGGGUGAGGAAAGAGAUGCAAAAUGUAGGGUGCUAUAAAAAAGGGGUAAGUUGUUUAACCCUUUCAUUUUUUAGCACACGCGCAAAAGGGUGUGGGUUUGGUUAUCCAAUAGCAAUGUAGGGAUUCUGAAUUUUUGAAUUUAUUCGUCCGGAGUGCACCGCUACCGCUGCUCGGUGGGUGUCCACUAUGCCCCGGCAGUGUUACGUUGUAAUUGAAUGGAUCCACUUGAUUCCCAUUUGAAUAUCAACAAACAGCGAGUGACAUGUGGAAGUGUUAACAUUCCAAUUAUGAAUAUUCAUGUCAUUUUUAUAAUAGUAUUGGAAUUCACAGUGGUAUUUUGUAUUGAUAAAAUGCUGAGUUUAUUUAACAGAAAAAACUGGGUUAGUGCUACAUUUAUGGAUUGCUGUUGGAUUGUGUAUUAUAUAAUUUUAGCAGGACGCUGCGAUUUUGGCACCGUAUUCAACUCGAAGAUAUUGCAACAGAUGUUAGAAGCUGCAAACAGGACGUGCGCAACGAGCUGCAUGCUGUCUACAAGGAACUUCCUAUCAGAUACAGCGGUCAGAUGUCGAACGCAAGAUAAUAAACGUUUCAAAUGACAAGUGUUUUAAAAACUGGAGCUCCCCUACUCAAUUACUGUGUAGUCAACGAGAUAACGCCGCGAAAAAUUCGUGAGCGGAAACAGAACAACUCCAGUGCCUAGAUUUUAACUUGAGAAGCAAAUUAAGCAGCAUUGAGUGCUCGCUACGUCUACGUGCUCGUAGCUCGCCCGCCCGGCCUACCUGUCAUUCGUUGCAGGUUACCACGCUAUGCUCUACGCACACUAUGCAGGACAGGCGUUGGGGACAACUCGUCCUAAAGUGUCCUGAUGGAACCCAUUUGACGGACAAUCUGCGGAGCUGAUGUGAGAUUAGGGCCGGACUUCGCACCCUCUGCCGCUGGGAGAUCUCGCCAACGGAACAGCUACGACCACUGGACGGCCCGACCCUGAUCGAAAAGUAAAUGGAAACUCAUUCAGCAUGUUCUUUUUAUUGUAAUUGUUUAUAUUGUGUGCUUGCAUUAAAUUAUAUUGUCUCUAU
Galleria mellonella (greater wax moth) is the source of this 1877-nucleotide long non-coding RNA. RefSeq lists it as uncharacterized. The transcript has 7 exons. The record is from RefSeq and is a predicted model, not a curated record. NCBI's taxonomy places the organism in Eukaryota, Metazoa, Arthropoda, Insecta, Lepidoptera, Pyralidae.